This 253-nucleotide ribosomal RNA is filed under the name uncultured bacterium. Its description in RNAcentral is "partial 16S ribosomal RNA". It matches the Rfam family "Bacterial small subunit ribosomal RNA", at positions 524 to 776 of the family's 1533-position model. The record is from RNAcentral.
UACGUAGGGGGCUAGCGUUGUCCGGAAUCAUUAGGCGUAAAGAGCGUGUAGGCGGCCCGGUAAGUCCGCUGUAAAAGUCAAAGGCUCAACCUUUGAAUGUCAGUGGAUACUGCCGGGCUAGAGUCCGGAAGAGGCGAGUGGAACUCCUGGUGUAGCGGUGGAAUGCGCAGAUAUCAGGAAGAACACCAACGGCGAAGGCAGCUCGCUAGGACGGUACUGACGCUGAGACGCGAAAGCGUGGGGAGCGAACAGG